Molecule: ribosomal RNA, 511 nt
Filed under: uncultured Enterobacterales bacterium
Lineage: Bacteria; Pseudomonadati; Pseudomonadota; Gammaproteobacteria; Enterobacterales
Description: bacterial SSU rRNA
Rfam family: Bacterial small subunit ribosomal RNA
Source: RNAcentral
AUUGAACGCUGGCGGCAGGCCUAACACAUGCAAGUCGAACGGUAGCACAGAGGAGCUUGCUCCUUGGGUGACGAGUGGCGGACGGGUGAGUAAUGUCUGGGAAACUGCCCGAUGGAGGGGGAUAACUACUGGAAACGGUAGCUAAUACCGCAUAACGUCGCAAGACCAAAGAGGGGGACCUUCGGGCCUCUUGCCAUCGGAUGUGCCCAGAUGGGAUUAGCUAGUAGGUGGGGUAAAGGCUCACCUAGGCGACGAUCCCUAGCUGGUCUGAGAGGAUGACCAGCCACACUGGAACUGAGACACGGUCCAGACUCCUACGGGAGGCAGCAGUGGGGAAUAUUGCACAAUGGGCGCAAGCCUGAUGCAGCCAUGCCGCGUGUAUGAAGAAGGCCUUCGGGUUGUAAAGUACUUUCAGCGGGGAGGAAGGGAGUAAAGUUAAUACCUUUGCUCAUUGACGUUACCCGCAGAAGAAGCACCGGCUAACUCCGUGCCAGCAGCCGCGGUAAAAGGG